RNAcentral lists this ribosomal RNA (301 nucleotides) under uncultured bacterium. RNAcentral's name for it is "partial 16S ribosomal RNA". It matches the Rfam family "Bacterial small subunit ribosomal RNA", at positions 509 to 807 of the family's 1533-position model. The record is from RNAcentral.
CAGUAGCCGCGGUAAUACGAAGGGUGCGAGCGUUACUCGGAAUUACUGGGCGUAAAGCGUGCGUAGGUGGUGGUUUAAGUCCGUUGUGAAAGCCCUGGGCUCAACCUGGGAAUUGCAGUGGAUACUGGGUCACUAGAGUGUGGUAGAGGAUAGUGGAAUUUCCGGUGUAGCAGUGAAAUGCGUAGAGAUCGGAAGGAACAUCUGUGGCGAAGGCGACUAUCUGGGCCAACACUGACACUGAGGCACGAAAGCGUGGGGAGCAAACAGGAUUAGAUACCCGGGUAGUCCCUGUCUCUUAUAC